GGCAGAUUAGGUAGUUGGUGAGGUAAAGGCUCACCAAGCCUUCGAUCUGUAGCUGGUCUGAGAGGACGACCAGCCACACUGGGACUGAGACACGGCCCAGACUCCUACGGGAGGCAGCAGUGGGGAAUAUUGGACAAUGGGCGAAAGCCUGAUCCAGCAAUGCCGCGUGAGUGAAGAAGGCCUUCGGGUUGUAAAGCUCUUUUGUCAGGGAAGAAACGGUUCU
RNAcentral lists this ribosomal RNA (223 nucleotides) under Conticribra weissflogii. RNAcentral's name for it is "partial Bacterial small subunit ribosomal RNA". It matches the Rfam family "Bacterial small subunit ribosomal RNA", at positions 235 to 457 of the family's 1533-position model. The record is from RNAcentral. Lineage: Eukaryota; Bacillariophyta; Thalassiosirophyceae; Thalassiosirales; Thalassiosiraceae.